GUUACGCGCGGCAGGACGAAAAGACCCCGGGACCUUCACUACAACUUGGUAUUGGUGCUCGAUACGGUUUGUGUAGGAUAGGUGGGAGACUGUGAAACUCACACGCCAGUGUGGGUGGAGUCGUUGUUGAAAUACCACUCUGAUCGUAUUGGGCCUCUAACCUCGAACCGUCUAUCCGGUUCAGGGACAGUGCCUGGCGGGUAGUUUAACUGGGGCGGUUGCCUCCUAAAAAGUAACGGAGGCGCCCAAAGGUUCCCUCAACCUGGACGGCAAUCAGGUGUUGAGUGUAAGUGCACAAGGGAGCUUGACUGCGAGACUGACACGUCAAGCAGGGACGAAAGUCGGGACUAGUGAUCCGGCACCCCCGAGUGGAAGGGGUGUCGCUCAACGGAUAAAAGGUACCCCGGGGAUAACAGGCUGAUCUUCCCCAAGAGUCCAUAUCGACGGGAUGGUUUGGCACCUCGAUGUCGGCUCGUCGCAUCCUGGGGCUGGAGCAGGUCCCAAGGGUUGGGCUGUUCGCCCAUUAAAGCGGCACGCGAGCUGGGUUUAGAACGUCGUGAGACAGUUCGGUCUCUAUCCGCCGCGCGCGUCAGAAGCUUGAGGAAACCUGUCCCUAGU
This 618-nucleotide ribosomal RNA is filed under the name Mycobacterium sp. RNAcentral's name for it is "bacterial LSU rRNA". It matches the Rfam family "Bacterial large subunit ribosomal RNA", at positions 2065 to 2682 of the family's 2925-position model. Lineage: Bacteria; Bacillati; Actinomycetota; Actinomycetes; Mycobacteriales; Mycobacteriaceae. The record is from RNAcentral.